GAGGGGAGGCCAUCCAUGCAGUCUGUGGGUUCAAAGGGUUUGUCAGCCUCUUGGUGUUAUUUACAUCAAAUCUGUCUCUGACUUCAGAUCCCUCAGGCUGGAGUGAGCUGCAACUGGGGCUCCUCUCUGGUCCAGGCUGAUGUGGGCUCUCCGCAUGGGUGCAGAGCCUGAGAGGGCCCUUUCUCUCCUCUCACUCAGACCCAAGCAAGACCCAAAACCUCUGUGGCUUCCCCACGGUGAUGCUAAAGAAAGAAGCACCCAAAGCCCAGGUCCUGGGACAUGGCUUCUCAAGGCUGGCCUUGGGCGUGGAGCUGAGGCUGAGCUACAGAGAAAGACAAAACAGGUGGAAGAUGAUUUGGACAAGCUGAAUGAGGAGUUCUUCCAGCUAACUACUCAAGCCUUGGAGCUCCAGAAGGUGGACAAGCCAGACCAAUUACCCCCAGGGGAAGCCAAUACCUUUGUGGUGGCUUCCAGCAUCCUCCCUGGUGUGUGGUGGGACGACAGAGCUGACCCCAUGGAGGCAGGUCAGCCCAGCAGAAAGAAGACUGGGCACUGGGCCCUGGAGAGAAAGCAGGCUCUGGCCCUGGAGGUUCAGAGAGUUCACGUGGCCCAAAAGAUUGAAGACCUGGAAUGGGAGCUGUCCCUGCUCCUCCAGGUGGCAGAAGGUGGCUUGAGAGCAGAAAGAAGCCAGCCCAGCUGUGGGGCUGUCCUGGAAGGCUCUGAGUCACACUGAGAUGGCCACCUGCAGAAAGCACCUUCUCCGCUAAGGAUGUGUCCAGGAGCCAUGGUAGGAAAUAAAAGGUAUCUGCAGCUGGAGCUGUGCUUGUUUCUGACAACUCCCAUCAUGGACACCUGAG
This 857-nucleotide long non-coding RNA is filed under the name Fukomys damarensis (Damara mole-rat). RNAcentral describes it as "lncRNA (ENSFDAG00000032875.1)". The record is from RNAcentral. Lineage: Eukaryota; Metazoa; Chordata; Mammalia; Rodentia; Bathyergidae.